CCUACGGGAGGCUGCAGUGAGGAAUAUUGGUCAAUGGACGAGAGUCUGAACCAGCCAAGUAGCGUGAAGGAUGACUGCCCUAUGGGUUGUAAACUUCUUUUAUAUGGGAAUAAAAUGUUCCACGUGUGGGAUUUUGUAUGUACCAUAUGAAUAAGGAUCGGCUAACUCCGUGCCAGCAGCCGCGGUAAUACGGAGGAUCCGAGCGUUAUCCGGAUUUAUUGGGUUUAAAGGGAGCGUAGGUGGAUUGUUAAGUCAGUUGUGAAAGUUUGCGGCUCAACCGUAAAAUUGCAGUUGAAACUGGCAGUCUUGAGUACAGUAGAGGUGGGCGGAAUUCGUGGUGUAGCGGUGAAAUGCUUAGAUAGCACGAAGAACUCCGAUUGCGAAGGCAGUUCACUGGACUGCAACUGACACUGAGGCUCGAAAGUGUGGGUAUCAAACAGGAGUAGAUACCCUUGUAGUC
This 460-nucleotide ribosomal RNA is filed under the name uncultured bacterium. RNAcentral describes it as "partial 16S ribosomal RNA". It matches the Rfam family "Bacterial small subunit ribosomal RNA", at positions 338 to 795 of the family's 1533-position model. The record is from RNAcentral.